Mastomys coucha (southern multimammate mouse) is the source of this 1762-nucleotide non-coding RNA. Lineage: Eukaryota; Metazoa; Chordata; Mammalia; Rodentia; Muridae. The record is from the annotation of a RefSeq genome assembly.
UCUAUUCUUUUGUUUGAAGUAGAAAUUGAAUACAAGUGAACCGAGUGAACACAUUACACUGUGGGAAGGAAGCAUGUAUUUUCUCUGCAGGUUAUCCACUAUCCAAGGUCAUUUACAGACCUGAACAGACAGCAAAUCAUGGAAGUUUAGACCUGGAAAGAGCAUAAGAAGUAUGUCUUCAUAGCUCAGAACAACUUCUCUGCAGUGAGCUACGGGAGGGUGGAAGGAUGAGGGGAUUGCACUCAUGCCGCCCCACCCUGAGCAGAACAGCUGUAUCUUACGCCCAGAUCUGAGCAGCUUGUGUUGGCCAGGAAACCCAGAACCGCUCUACAACAGACCAUGAAGAACUCUGGCUCACAAACCCUGCUUCCUUUACAUCUUCCCUGGGCAGCCAGCAUGGAAGAUGGGAAUCCACUCCUGAAAGCAGUCAUUUUCUCAUGCCUCUUGACAUUUGGAUGUGGGAAGUUGGAGCAACCUGAAAUAUCAAUAUCCAGAGCAAGAGAUGAGACUGUCCAAAUAUCCUGUAAGGCUUUCAUCAAAAGCUUUAAAAGUGUAACCAUACACUGGUACCGACAGAAACAAAACCAAGGCUUAGAGUAUCUAUUAUAUGUCCUUGCAACCCCUACUCAUAUUUUCUUAAAUAAGAAGUAUAUGAAAAUGGAGGCAAGAAAAGAUUCUAGUGCCUCUACAUCCACAUUGACAAUAUACUCCUUGGAGGAAGAAGACGAAGCUAUCUACUACUGUUUAGAUUUUUGUAGAAGAUGUGAGCACUGUGAUAGCUCGGGCUGGAGGAAGGUAUUUGCAGAAGGAACUAAGCUCAUAGUAAUUCCCUCUGACAAAAGCUUUGAUGCAGACAUUUCCCCCAAGUCCACCAUUUUUCUUCCUUCUGCUGCUGAAACAAAUCUCCAUAAGGCUGGGACAUACCUUUGUCUCCUUGAAAAGUUUUUUCCCGAUGUCAUAAGGGUGUAUUGGAAAGAAAAAAGUGGCAAUACUAUCCUGGACUCCCAGGAAGGGGAUACGCUGAAGACUAACGACACGUACAUGAAGUUUAGCUGGCUUACUGUGCCUGAAAGGUCGAUGGGGAAAGAGCACCGAUGUAUUGUCAAACAUGAGAACAACAAAGGAGGAGUGGAUCAGGAGAUUUUCUUUCCUUCAAUAAAGAAAGUUGCUGUGAGUACCAAUCCUACAACUUGCUGGCAAGAUAAAAAUGAUAUGCUGCAGCUCCAGUUCACAAGCACCUCAGCCUACUACACCUACCUACUCCUGCUCCUCAAGAGUGUGAUCUACUUGGCCAUCAUCAGCUUCAUUAUGCUUAAAAGAACGUCUCUCUGUGGCAGUAAGAAGAUGUCCUAAAGAAGUGAGUGGUGGUAGAGCAAGGCAGCUGGUUUUCAUCCUUACUGCCAUAAAGGUGCCUAGUGGGGGUCCAGCUGCCUUCUCUUGUUGGCUUUGACUUCUCUAAAGUCAUGUCCACAUGUUGAAAAAACAUUUUUUGAACUUUUGUAAGCAAUUUCAGCAACGUCUCUGCAACUAAGCUUACCCCCUUUCUGAUUCUAUCCUCUCCAGCAGUCCCCUCCCCCAGAAGCCCAAAGCAUCAAUGUUCUAGUACCCAUAUCCUAUAGCUUUUACCCAUGACCCUUAUUGCUCUUGAACCAGCCUGUUCCCUGAGAGCUUCCACUCUAGACAACCUGAAGAAUCUUCUUUACUGUUUGAUUCUGUGUUUUGUAUUUCAUAUUAGGGACAAUAAAUUUUUUAAAAAUUAGAA